Molecule: ribosomal RNA, 296 nt
Filed under: Harpactea rubicunda
Lineage: Eukaryota; Metazoa; Arthropoda; Arachnida; Araneae; Dysderidae
Description: partial 28S ribosomal RNA
Rfam family: Eukaryotic large subunit ribosomal RNA
Source: RNAcentral
GAAAGGGAAUCGGGUCAAUAUUCCCGAACCCGGACGCGGAGAUCGGGCCCUCGGGCUCAAGUGCGGUAACGCAACCGAACUCGGAGAUGUCGACGGGAGUCCCGGGAAGAGUUGUCUUUUCUUUGUAAGGGUUCGGGUCCCUGGAAUCGGCUCGUCCGGAGAUAGGGAUGCUGUUCCCGUAAAGCACCGCGGCUCUUGCGGUGUCUGGAGCGCUCCUGUCGGCCCUUGAAAAUCCGAGGGAGGAGGUGUGAUUUUCGUGCCGGUCCGUACCCAUAUCCGCAGCAGGUCUCCAAGGU